RNAcentral lists this ribosomal RNA (253 nucleotides) under uncultured bacterium. RNAcentral describes it as "partial 16S ribosomal RNA". It matches the Rfam family "Bacterial small subunit ribosomal RNA", at positions 524 to 776 of the family's 1533-position model. The record is from RNAcentral.
AACGUAGGACGCAAGCGUUAUCCGGAGUUACUGGGCGUAAAGGGCGGGCAGGCGGUCUCGCAAGUGGGAUGUGAAAGCUCCCGGCUUAACCGGGAGAGGCCAUUCCGGACUGUGAGGCUGGAGGGCAGUAGAGGUGCGUGGAAUUCCGGGUGGAGUGGUGAAAUGCGUAGAGAUCCGGAGGAACACCAGAGGCGAAGGCGGCGCCCCGGGCUGCACCUGACGCUGAUCCGCGAAAGCCAGGGGAGCGAACGGG